AUCUUGAGAAAAAAUUCCUGGAAAACCCAGGUCCUGACUUCCAGUCCUUGUUCUCACCACAGACUUAUCUCAGACAGAGGAGAAACUUCGUGGAGCAGUGCUACAUGCACUACGUAAAACUACCUACCAUUGGCAAGAACUGAGCUACACUGAGGGACUGAGCCUGGUGUAUAUGGCAGCAAGACUGGAUGGUGGCUUUGCAGCAGUCUCCAGAGCAUUCCAUGAGAUCCGGGCUCGAAAUCCAGCAUUUCAGCCACAGACUUUGAUGGACUUUGGCUCAGGUACUGGUUCUGUCACCUGGUGAGUAACUUUCUUCAGCCCUAUCUUGGUCAAUUUUAGCUCUAGAAAGCCAUACUUACACCACUCCAAAAUUAACAGACUGGAAAACCAGAGGGAGAAUAGGCAAGUUGGGAAUCUAUAAUGUUUCUUGCAUCAGAUUAGGCAAGGCAGAAGAAGGUAUAUGGAUUGGGGCCAGAACUUAAAGAAAUGUCAAGUGAAAAAUUAAAAAGAAAAAGAAUUAUCAAUCAAAGU
This 531-nucleotide small RNA is filed under the name Pongo abelii (Sumatran orangutan). RNAcentral's name for it is "retained intron". Lineage: Eukaryota; Metazoa; Chordata; Mammalia; Primates; Hominidae. The record is from RNAcentral.